This 541-nucleotide ribosomal RNA is filed under the name Bifidobacterium breve. RNAcentral describes it as "bacterial SSU rRNA". It matches the Rfam family "Bacterial small subunit ribosomal RNA", at positions 158 to 709 of the family's 1533-position model. Lineage: Bacteria; Bacillati; Actinomycetota; Actinomycetes; Bifidobacteriales; Bifidobacteriaceae. The record is from RNAcentral.
GGGUGGUAAUGCCGGAUGCUCCAUCACACCGCAUGGUGUGUUGGGAAAGCCUUUGCGGCAUGGGAUGGGGUCGCGUCCUAUCAGCUUGAUGGCGGGGUAACGGCCCACCAUGGCUUCGACGGGUAGCCGGCCUGAGAGGGCGACCGGCCACAUUGGGACUGAGAUACGGCCCAGACUCCUACGGGAGGCAGCAGUGGGGAAUAUUGCACAAUGGGCGCAAGCCUGAUGCAGCGACGCCGCGUGAGGGAUGGAGGCCUUCGGGUUGUAAACCUCUUUUGUUAGGGAGCAAGGCAUUUUGUGUUGAGUGUACCUUUCGAAUAAGCACCGGCUAACUACGUGCCAGCAGCCGCGGUAAUACGUAGGGUGCAAGCGUUAUCCGGAAUUAUUGGGCGUAAAGGGCUCGUAGGCGGUUCGUCGCGUCCGGUGUGAAAGUCCAUCGCUUAACGGUGGAUCCGCGCCGGGUACGGGCGGGCUUGAGUGCGGUAGGGGAGACUGGAAUUCCCGGUGUAACGGUGGAAUGUGUAGAUAUCGGAAAAAAAAC